AUUAACUCAAAUAUGCCACUAAUUUUAAGCUUUUAAUUACUCAGAUAUGAAAUAUACAAUUUAUAGUAAGGAGAAACCAAUACCAGUAUGUGUGUGUAUUCAAUCCUGUUAGGCUUUGCACAAAGCACUAACUUGUUUCAUUUUAUUUUCUUAGUACUUGUUUUCUGUUUGAUGAGCAUAAAAUGUCCAUACCCAAAGUAACAAGACGUCAUAUGAACAUUUAAAUUUUUUUUCUCUAAGAGACACACAGAGAGAGGCAGAAACAUAGGCAGAGUGAGAAGCAGGCUCCCUGCGGGGAUCCGGAUGCAGGACUGAAUCCCAGGGCCCCCGGCUCAUGAACUGAGCCAAACGGCAGACGCUCAACCACUGGGCCACCCAGGUGCUCUGAACACUUAAAUUUUCAACAAAUAAUACGGACAGUCUCAUCCACCCUUCUACAAUCCCCCACCUAAAACUUCACCUGAAACACAGCUGAGUUUUGUAACCCUGUGUUCAUCACAGCCUGUAGCGCAGGGCUGUACUCCAAACAAUUCUUGAGUUUCUGUGCAUGGGGUCAUCCUCGGUCAAGUAUUAUUCCCACCCGCCUCCCUUCUCUCCAUGCAUCUUUGCGUGCCCCUCCCCGCUUCUACCGCGAGCUCGCUAGUACUCAGCCUGGGCCAAGCAACUUUUACACAGUAUCUUGGGCAGGAGAGAAAGGCAAACACGCUGCAGGGAACGGUGGGAUUCCUUCGAGAGCUAAGUAUAGGUUUGUUGACGCGGCGCGGGGUGGGGGGCGAGCCACGCGGUGCCCGGGUCACGGGGGUCUGCGCCCUCCAGUGACCCGCACGCUCGGGCUCCCGUGCGCGGCGCCACUGCAGCGGAAUCCGGUUCGGAGCAGGCGUCCACUGACAUCCUUCCCGGACCGCCCCAAGCCAGCGCGCAGUUGCCAGGGUAACGGCGAGUCUGCAGGGACCGGCUCUCCGCGUUUCCACGGACACGGCUCCCCAGGCAGGUGCGGCGGCGGCGGGCGGGCGGGCGCAGCNNNNNNNNNNNNNNNNNNNNNNNNNNNNNNNNNNNNNNNNNNNNNNNNNNNNNNNNGGCAGGUGCCGCGCGCCCCGCAUCGGCUCCACCGACGUCUACGAUUAAAAGCGCUACUUUCCGAGAGACACCGCGCUCGCAGCGCAGGACGACGACUUCCUUCCGGCCUGACUAGAUCCAGCCGCUCUCGGGCGCUGUCUGCGCGCUGGAGAUGGUCCAGGUCACGGAGGCUGUGCAGAGGCGCUGCCGCAGACAGUAAGGCUCCGUGGGCGAGAGCGCUCUGGAGAGGUGACACUGGGCCCCCUGUGCCAGGGAGGAUGCUGCACAGAAGUCAGAGGAUGUGGGUUUCCACUCUCCAGAAAGUUGUUCUGGCAUCUACUUCCUACCUUGAGGUCCUGGCAAUGGAGAACCUUGCUUUUAGAAAUGGACGUACUCUGGAAAAUGGUGUCACCGAAUCCCAGUUAACAGCUUUGCAUCAUCCUCACCUCUGA
Molecule: long non-coding RNA, 1508 nt
Organism: Vulpes vulpes (red fox)
Lineage: Eukaryota; Metazoa; Chordata; Mammalia; Carnivora; Canidae
Source: Ensembl